UACGUAGGUGGCGAACGUUAUCCGGAAUUAUUGGGCGUAAAGGGUGCGUAGGCGGCAUGAUAAGUUAUUGGCGGCAAAUCGAGGCUCAACCUCGUGGAAACUGAUAAUACUGUCUUGCUUGAGUGCAGAAGAGGUUAACGGAACUCCAUGUGGAGCGGUAAAAUGUGUAGAUAUAUGGAAGAACAUCAAUAACGGCGAAGGCAGUUAACUAUUCUGUUACUGACGUUGAGGCACGAAAGCGUGGGGAGCAAAAAGG
This 256-nucleotide ribosomal RNA is filed under the name uncultured bacterium. RNAcentral describes it as "partial 16S ribosomal RNA". It matches the Rfam family "Bacterial small subunit ribosomal RNA", at positions 524 to 776 of the family's 1533-position model. The record is from RNAcentral.